Molecule: unclassified non-coding RNA, 393 nt
Filed under: uncultured fungus
Lineage: Eukaryota; Fungi
Description: sequence contains ITS1
Rfam family: 5.8S ribosomal RNA (bases 1-97)
Source: RNAcentral
GAAAUGCGAUACGCAAUGCGAAUUGCAGAACGCGAGUCAUCAGAUCUUUGAACGCAAGUGGCGCCGGUUAGCAGCCGGCAUGUGGUGCUCAGUGUGUUUCGGAAAUCCUACACGCGGAAUGUGGUUGAAGGCGGCGGGCUUCACGGCUCCUGCUUUCUCCCAUUAAACUCGCGCUGGACCGGCGGGCGGAUCUCCCUACAAAACCGUCUCUCGGCACUGGCUCCCAGCCCGGAAGUAGUCACUAGCACUCUAGUGAUCUACGGGCCUGGGGGAUACAAACUGGUGCUCCGAGUAGGCUUGGGCAGUCUGCUCGCCUUACGCCGUCCACGGAAUGUUUUACACAACACUUCCCAUCCUACACCUGAGCUCCGCAAGAUCACCCGCUGAACUUAA